Panonychus citri (citrus red mite) is the source of this 1027-nucleotide long non-coding RNA. RefSeq lists it as uncharacterized. The record is from RefSeq and is a predicted model, not a curated record. Lineage: Eukaryota; Metazoa; Arthropoda; Arachnida; Trombidiformes; Tetranychidae. The transcript is spliced from 2 exons.
UGUUAUUUUCUAAUUUGAGAUGAUUAAUUUUCACAUUUUCUUAUUAAAUUUCACUUGAUAAUUAACAAUUUCUCCUGAAAUUGUAAAAAUUGCAAUUGUUUAACUAGAGCCAUCUAUUGGGUUACUUGAUCUUCUCCUAAUUUAAUCUUGGUCUUAUGAUUGAGUUUACUCAUUUACAAUUUUGUUUAUUCUUUUCUUGUGUUAAUUAAUUCGUCUGUUAAUUUGUUAUUUUUAUUUAAUUUUUGUUCCUUCAAAACUAAUCCAUAUCCUAAUCUAAUUCUGACACUAUAAAUUUUAAACGAAUCCUCAACAAUUUUCAAAGGCCUUGUGAAAUUUUUAAUAUCUUCUAUUCUCUCUCUCUCUGCCUGUCUACACCUAGUCAAAAGGAGCCUGAUUACUGUCUUUACCUUUCUGGUCCAUCCUUAAUAAUUUUUGAUUCUCUAUCUCUUCCUCUUCCUCUUUCUUAUUAUCUCUCUCCCUCUUUCUUUCUUUCUUUCUUUCUCUUUCUCUCUUUUCAUUCUUAUUCCCUGUUUCUGACUCUUUAUUACUCCACAACAACAACAUAUUUAUACAACUACAAUGGACAAAUCAGAGACUCUAAAUAAACGUCAAGGUAACAGUAAUAGUAGAUCAACGGGUAAUAGUAAUCCAGUGGAUAGGACAAACUUUCGUUCGUUAAUAUGUGAUGAAUCUGGUAUAAUAAUCGGUGAAAUGGUUUACCGUUGUUUAAUCUGUUCCUUUAUUAGUGUAUCAAUGGAUAAAAUUCGAGCUCAUUAUCAAACAGAACAUGUUGACAUUGAAGAUAUAAGUAAUGGUGAAUUUAGAUAUGUAAAUGAUGAUUAUUGUCCAUCACCAAGUGGCGAUUCUUUAAACGAUAAUCAACAGAAAGCAACAUCAACAACAACAUCAAAAGAAAAUCAAUCAACAAAUGAUUCUAUGAAAUGAAAAUAAUUGUUUCCCUCAUUUUUUAUAUUUUAUUUUAUAUUAAUAAACAAAAAAACUGCGUUGAUUUGACAUGAAAAGAAAA